ACGCUCGACACCUACGGGAGCAGCAGUGGGGAAUAUUGCACAAUGGGGGAAACCCUGAUGCAGCGACGCCGCGUGGAGGAAGAAGGUCUUCGGAUUGUAAACUCCUGUUGUUGGGGAAAAAGAGGAUGGUACCCAACAAGGAAGUGACGGCUAACUACGUGCCAGCAGCCGCGGUAAUCUGAGCGGGCUGGCAAGGC
Molecule: ribosomal RNA, 197 nt
Filed under: uncultured bacterium
Lineage: Bacteria
Description: partial 16S ribosomal RNA
Rfam family: Bacterial small subunit ribosomal RNA
Source: RNAcentral